Molecule: ribosomal RNA, 250 nt
Filed under: uncultured bacterium
Lineage: Bacteria
Description: partial 16S ribosomal RNA
Rfam family: Bacterial small subunit ribosomal RNA
Source: RNAcentral
UACGUAGGGGGCAAGCGUUGUCCGGAGUCAUUGGGCGUAAAGCGCGUGUAGGCGGCUCGAUAAGUCUGCUGUGAAAGUUCAGGGCUCAACCCUGAAAUGCCGGUGGAAACUGUCGGGCUAGAGUCCGGAAGAGGCGAGUGGAGUUCCUGGUGUAGCGGUGAAAUGCGCAGAUAUCAGGAGGAACACCAAUGGCGAAGGCAGCUCGCUGGGACGGUACUGACGCUGAGACGCGAAAGCGUGGGGAGCAAAC